Long non-coding RNA from Esox lucius (northern pike), 3946 nucleotides. The record is from Ensembl. NCBI's taxonomy places the organism in Eukaryota, Metazoa, Chordata, Actinopteri, Esociformes, Esocidae.
GAAGUGGGAUCUGUUGGACAGGUAGGAGUGGAGGCAGCUGAGUGCAGGACCUGCACUCAGGUCGAGGAGGAUGAGGAUGUUGAGGGAACCGGUGUCAGCAGAGGUGAGUAGGUCAUUGAGGACUUUGAGGAGAGCGGUUUCAGUGCUCUCCUCAAACCAAUUUCGAACCAGAUUGGAGGGGUUCGAAUUGGUUAUUGGCAUGAAGAUGGGUUUGUAGUUGUGUAGUUUGUAAUUUAAAUGUAUCUUUUAAUAUUCUAUAAUAAUCAAUAAUUCUACCAAAUGUAUUGUUAUGUAUUUUAUUGCCAUACUUGCCAUAUCUAUACAUUUCGAUACAAAUACCCAGAUUGCUGCUAGUUUACAAUAGUAUUUUUAAACUGCUGCUAGUGUAGAGUGUUAUGUACUGAAUAUUAUUGCUUUAUUUUUUUGUCUGGCUAUAUUUUUGUUUAAAUAUUUUUCUUUUUAAUUCUCGCUACUAGUUGUCGGUGGCAGUGUCACUAGAAUGUCAUUGUGCGGGAUAACUCCGUGUUCACCCGGUGCAUUUGACAAAUAAACCUUCAAACUUGAAUUCAUUAUAUGAUAGAAACAAGUCCCAAGGGCGUGUAAAUAUGGGCAUGGAGGUUGAAUGUCUGCUGGUUCCGUGGUGACCCAUACAGCCAUGUCUGAUAAUGCCCAGCGGGGUCGAAACAGCCGGGAGUCCCGUUCUUGAGUGCCGGGCCCUACGACGUUAGGUGUCAUCAAUUACCGCAGGUGUAGGCUAGAGCAAAGGUUCUCAGGUGCUUUGCUCCCGCUGCAAAUCUUAUCAGGCGUGACUGCAUUUGUCAUCAUUACUGGCACGAAUGUGGUUUGACAUUCCAUGUGUGGUACCUCAUUUAUAAUCAAAGGGUCUGAUUGGUCAAAUCAUCAUUCGUUUGUUCAGAAUGUGUCGGCCGGUGUAAAUGCACUAAAUUACAUUUUUACACAUUACACAUGCUCAGACAAAGCCAGGAAAGGUAGAAUUACAGUUGGGUGAAGAUUCAAUCCUUCAAUGAUGACUUCAAUGUCUGCUACGACCCGUCUAUAAGACCAUGGGAAACAGCACCCUUCUUUCAUCUAAAAUGUCCUUGUUUUUGAAGGAUUUUUUUUAUUUUUAUUAAAAUAACAUCAAAUUGAUCAGAAAUACAGUGUAGACAUUGUUAAUGUUGUGAAUGACUAUUGUAGCUGGAACCAGCUGAUUUUCAAUGGAAUAUCUACAGAGGCCCAUUAUCAGCAACCAUCAGUCCUAUAUGUUCCAAUGGCACAUUGUGUUUGCUAAUGCUGGAUGUCCUCCGUUCAAGAGCAAUUACAAGAUGUUCACCAGGAAAUUACAAGAUGUUCACCAGGAUCACAAUUAGAAAAUAUAUCAAAGAGAGAACACAUGCCAAGGUGGAUUAAAAAUGCACAAGCCAUGAAAUUAUUUGGAUUCAAUUAGAUUAGAAAAAACUUUAUUGCAGUGUUUUUAGCUUAACCAGAUGAAAAACAUUGAAUUAUUGUAAGUAUAUUAAACUCAAUAUAAAUUAAUAAAAAUCUAAACUGUUUGGGGAAACAACUUGAAGAUCAUCAAAUAAAUCAUACAAUGUGUCCAAAUUUAGGCAUGCAAGGUGUAAAAAAACUAAUAAUUACAAUGUUAAAAAGUGUUGUAUAAGACAUUCAUGAAAAGACAUUCUAAAACAGGUAAGAUGAUUUCAGGGUGUUGUAUAAGUUAUUUUGAUUUCUUAAAUUACAUUACACAAUUAUAGAGCACUUCUUUUGCAAAAUUAUGAAAAUACCACUGUUUACCUUUCAUUUGAUACAGUUUUUAUUAAUUAAGUUAAUUCUUCUAUUUCUCACUCAAGGGCCUGAAACCCCUACAGAGGUAAGUUAACGCCCCCACUCCUCAUCCUUGACUUUAUAUUAUAUUACUGUGGUAUGACAUUUCAGAUUAUAAUAAUCCAUCUGUAGCUCACUGGAACUACAACAGAAAGCUUUUUAUAUAAAUCUGCAUGUGGUUAAAGAUGCUUACGCAGGACACUGAUGCAUCUUGGUCUAAGCAACAUACAACAAAGGACAAAAAAAGCAAUUUCUUUCACCAUGGAUGUUUUGGGACAUCUGGUGAUUAUGUUGACUCUGUUGCUCCAAGACCUGCAAAUGAUGUAGGAGUGAGAUGAACAGGACACUGGUAAACAGCGCUCAACUUUUUUAUUCAACAGCCACUGUGGCUGGUUUUCCAAAGUUACUAGCCACUCAACAUUUUCACUAGCCACCAUUCAAGCAAUAUAUAUAUUCUUAACAUGACCUACAACUAUUAACAUGUUAUUUAAAAAUAAAUAUAAAAUCACCCACCAGCUUUCAUAAUUAAUCAGUCAAGAUUAUUGUUGUUUAUUUUCGUUAUGCCAUGUUCUUGUUAAUAUAGACUUGCAUAAAAAAAUGAAACAGAGCUGUAUUUAUUACAGCCUUGUCAAGUUAUUUUUCCCACAUCUUUGCCUUGACGCCACAUUGUUCCUCCAGUUCCAUCAGCUAUACUAGGCUGUACUGUUGCUGAUCCAGCGUCUUCACGAUCAUAUAUUUAUAUUGAGAAACCCAGCUGCCCUUUCCCCCAUUGCCCUGGGUGGUUCCCCAGUCAACUCUGUGGAGUCCUUUCGCUUUCUGGGCACCACCAUCAGCCAGGACCUCAAGUGGGAGCUGAACAUCACCUCGCUCACAAAGAAAGCAGAGGAUGUACUUCCUGUGGCAGCUAAAAAAGUUCAACCUGAACAAAGACUAUUAUGGGGCAUUUCCACACUGCCAUCCUAGAGUCCAUCUUGACCUCUUUCACUGUCUGGUAUGCUGCAGCCUGCCCUUGCAGCCUGUCCUUGGCAGUAUCAUCCACUCUGCAGAGAGGGUAAUUGGCUGCAAUCUGCCGUCUCUACAAGACCUACACACCUCCAGGACGCGGAGGCGAGCGGCAAAUAUUGGGGCUGAUCCCUCUCACCCAGGAAAUGGACUAUCCAGAACUCUCCCCUCUGGCAGAAGGUUUAGGUCUAUCAGGACCAAAACCUCUCACCACAAGAACAGUUUCUUUUUUACAGCAGUAGGCCUCAGGAACAUGCCCCUGGAGCCAAACUCACUAUAGCCUGCUCCCCACAUACACACACAACCCUCAACAGGACAAAUCUACAACCCCUCCCCACAUACACACACAACCCUCUACUGGACAAAUCUAUAACCCCUCCCCACAUACACACACAACCCUCAACUGGAUAUCUUGCACCUUACAUAUUUUGUAGUAUAUUUUUUAAGAAUUGAUUAAUGCUCAGUCUACGGUUUUUAUGCUCAGUCCACUAGCAGAUCACUAGGUGUCGCUGAUGUGUGAUCAUGAUUAUUGCUCUGUCACAAACAUUUGACCGACAAAGGCACCUUAAUGAGCACCAAGAAAACAUUUGAAAAAAAAUAAAUAGCAUAUGAAAACAUGUUUUACAAAAGACUAAUAGCAUUAGGUUUAACAUUCCUGAAUGUUCUUCGAAAAUCUAUUUGGUUUGUACUCGUCAUUACCAACACCACAUAAACAAUUCAUACAAAUGAAUUGUCAACUGUCAACUGUAGCAUCUGUUCUCUAUCUCUGAUGUAUUUUCUCAUUGUGAUCCUGGUGAGAAAUUAAAUGUAGUGUUUGGAUAGAUGUUAUUGUUCCAUUGACCUUAGAUAUGUUGUAGUUUUACUUGUUUUAUGUGUAAAAACAAUAAUGACAUGUUAACCAAACAACGUGACAUUGCACCUGUUCCUAGGACGCUGAUUCAGGUUACAGGAACAUCUUGUAAUUGCUCUUGAUCCCAGGACAUAUAGAGAAGAUCCCACAACAUCCCUAAGGACUUGUUCUUCUGGUGAUGGUGUUGACUAUUUGGAAAUAAUCAACACCAGGAUUUUAUUUGCAUCUCAGAAUAACAUUUUGGGUUUUCUUUUGGUGCUGACUUUUGAG